This 497-nucleotide ribosomal RNA is filed under the name uncultured bacterium. RNAcentral's name for it is "partial 16S ribosomal RNA". It matches the Rfam family "Bacterial small subunit ribosomal RNA", at positions 28 to 507 of the family's 1533-position model. The record is from RNAcentral.
GAUGAACGCUGGCGGCGUGCCUAAUACAUGCAAGUCGAGCGAACGGACGAGAAGCUUGCUUCUCUGAUGUUAGCGGCGGACGGGUGAGUAACACGUGGAUAACCUACCUAUAAGACUGGGAUAACUUCGGGAAACCGUAGCUAAUACCGGAUAAUAUUUUGAACCGCAUGGUUCAAAAGUGAAAGACGGUCUUGCUGUCACUUAUAGAUGGAUCCGCGCUGCAUUAGCUAGUUGGUAAGGAAACGGCUUACCAAGGCAACGAUGCAUAGCCGACCUGAGAGGGUGAUCGGCCACACUGGAACUGAGACACGGUCCAGACUCCUACGGGAGGCAGCAGUAGGGAAUCUUCCGCAAUGGGCGAAAGCCUGACGGAGCAACGCCGCGUGAGUGAUGAAGGUCUUCGGAUCGUAAAACUCUGUUAUUAGGGAAGAACAUAUGUGUAAGUAACUGUGCACAUCUUGGCGGUACCUAAUCAGAAAGCCACGGCUAACUACGUG